This 301-nucleotide ribosomal RNA is filed under the name uncultured bacterium. RNAcentral describes it as "partial 16S ribosomal RNA". It matches the Rfam family "Bacterial small subunit ribosomal RNA", at positions 509 to 807 of the family's 1533-position model. The record is from RNAcentral.
CAGCAGCCGCGGUAAAACGGAGGGGGCUAGCGUUGUUCGGAAUUACUGGGCGUAAAGCGUGCGUAGGCGGUUUGUUAAGUCUGUUGUGAAAUCCCCGGGCUCAACCUGGGAACGGCAAUGGAUACUGGCAAGCUAGAGUGUGUCAGAGGAUGGUGGAAUUCCCGGUGUAGCGGUGAAAUGCGUAGAGAUCGGGAGGAGCAUCAGUGGCGAAGGCGGCCAUCUGGGACAACACUGACGCUGAGGCACGAAAGCGUGGGGAGCAAACAGGAUUAGAUACCCGUGUAGUCCCUGUCUCUUAUAC